RNAcentral lists this ribosomal RNA (459 nucleotides) under uncultured bacterium. Its description in RNAcentral is "partial 16S ribosomal RNA". It matches the Rfam family "Bacterial small subunit ribosomal RNA", at positions 338 to 795 of the family's 1533-position model. The record is from RNAcentral.
CCUACGGGAGGCAGCAGUGAGGAAUAUUGGUCAAUGGGCGCGAGCCUGAACCAGCCAAGUCGCGUGAGGGAAGACGGCCCUAUGGAUUGUAAACCUCUUUUGUCGGGGAGCAAAAGACGCCACGCGUGCCGUUCCGAGAGUACCCGAAGAAAAAGCAUCGGCUAACUCCGUGCCAGCAGCCGCGGUAAUACGGAGGAUGCGAGCGUUAUCCGGAUUUAUUGGGUUUAAAGGGUGCGCAGGCGGAAGAUUAAGUCAGCGGUAAAAUUGAGGGGCUCAACCUCUUCGAGCCGUUGAAACUGGUUGUCUUGAGUGGGCGAGAAGUACGCGGAAUGCGUGGUGUAGCGGUGAAAUGCAUAGAUAUCACGCAGAACUCCGAUUGCGAAGGCAGCAUACCGGCGCUCAACUGACGCUGAUGCACGAAAGUGUGGGUAUCGAACAGGAUUAGAUACCCGGGUAGUC